UGCCAGCAGCCGCGGUAAUACGGAGGGUGCGAACGUUAAUCGGAAUUACUGGGCGUAAAGCGCGCGUAGGUGGUUCACUAAGUGGGAUGUGAAAGCCCUGGGCUUAACCUGGGAACUGCAUUCCAAACUGGAGAACUAGAGUACGAUAGAGGGGGGUAGAAUUCAGAGUGUAGCGGUGAAAUGCGUAGAUAUUCUGAGGAAUACCGGUGGCGAAGGCGGCUUUCUGGACCGAUACUGACGCUGAGACGCGAAAGCGUGGGGAGCAAACAGGAUUAGAUA
Molecule: ribosomal RNA, 279 nt
Filed under: uncultured bacterium
Lineage: Bacteria
Description: partial 16S ribosomal RNA
Rfam family: Bacterial small subunit ribosomal RNA
Source: RNAcentral